Molecule: ribosomal RNA, 429 nt
Filed under: Acidobacteriota bacterium
Lineage: Bacteria; Pseudomonadati; Acidobacteriota
Description: Acidobacteria bacterium partial 16S ribosomal RNA
Rfam family: Bacterial small subunit ribosomal RNA
Source: RNAcentral
UGGGGAAUUUUGGACAAUGGGGGAAACCCUGAUCCAGCCAUCCCGCGUGUGCGAUGAAGGCCUUCGGGUUGUAAAGCACUUUUGGCAGGAAAGAAACGUCAUGGGUUAAUACCCCGUGAAACUGACGGUACCUGCAGAAUAAGCACCGGCUAACUACGUGCCAGCAGCCGCGGUAAUACGUAGGGUGCAAGCGUUAAUCGGAAUUACUGGGCGUAAAGCGUGCGCAGGCGGUUCGGAAAGAAAGAUGUGAAAUCCCAGAGCUCAACUUUGGAACUGCAUUUUUAACUACCGGGCUAGGGUGUGUCAGAGAGGGGUGGAAUUCCGCGUGUAGCAGUGAAAUGCGUAGAUAUGCGGAGGAACACCGAUGGCGAAGGCAGCCUCCUGGGAUAACACUGACGCUCAUGCACGAAAGCGUGGGGAGCAAACAGG